AUCAUCUUCACUUUCUGCAGAGAGAAAAGAGGGAAUGAGGACAACUGGAGCAGGUGCUUUAGACCAAAGGACAGCCAUCUGCUGAGGAAAGCAGAAGUGCAAGCCCAGCUGGGAACCUGGGUGGACUCAUGGAACACAGCCCAACUGUCUGCCCUGGACUGCAAGAUGAGAGAAAAAGAAACUUUGGCCUUAUGUAGAAUAAUCAAAGGACCCUCUACUACAAAGCUUAGUGAGGACCCUGAAGCUCUACCCACCCAACUCCAGCCAUAACUACCAAAACUAGAGGUGCCAGACACAGAUGCCCAGCCAGCCUUCUUGAUAACAUUGACUGACCUCACACAUAAACUGGGAAACUCUCCUGGAAAUAGAAAGCAACUUCAUCAAAGAUAAACAAGGAACUUUGUCUACCACUUGCUGCCUCCACCGGAAGAGAAAGAGUGAACCAUGAUGAACGUCUCCCGUGGGCAGCCUCUUGGCUAGCUCUGUGAUGGGUCCCUUGGAUUUUCCAUGCAUACAAAUAAGAAGCAUGUUCAAUGAACUGGUCACUUAAAUAGGCUGUUCCUGGAAAUUGGAGUUCCAAUUUAAAAUAUUGACAAAGCCAUCUUCGGGAAUGUUCUCUUGUAUUUAUCUCUUUUAAUUCACUUUAAUUAAUUAAUCUGCAAUUGUCUUUGCAUCUGUGUGAUGGGGAGAGUUUCUAAGAAUUUAAUUUCUUCUAAGACCAUGAGCUUGCUUGCUUAUUUGAUCUUCCAAAUGCAGCAAGGGAGUAUUUUCGCUAGGUUUUCCCAAGAUUUAUUACAGGGGCUACUAAUUUAUUCCCUGUUAAAUUGGGCAUCUCUAACUAGAGAAAGUUGUUAGAAAAUGAAUGGAAGAGAGAAAUGUGAUCAUACUCUGAAUAGUGUUCACUUGAAUGGCUUGAAACUUUUAAGAAAGUCCUCCAGAAUCUUAGAAAUAGCAAAUAAACAGUGGAGAUGGAGCAUGAGAUGAUACUAUCAGCACUGGAGUGUCUUCAGGGACACUCAGUCAGCGAGCUUAUUCCUCAUUACUACAACCCACCAGGCAGACAGUCAUGUGACUAAUUCCCGUGUAUGGAAAAAAAGGAAGAAAAGGUAAGGUCUUUGUUGCAUUAAUGCCAUGCCACACUGGUUUCAGAAAAGGAGAAAAUCUUUUAUUCUGAGUCCUCCAUAGUGGAAAGUAGUUAAGUACAACAGCUUGGAAACCAGACUGCCAGGGUUCAAAUCUCAGCUCCACCAUUUAUUGUAUGAGCUUGGGCAAAUUCUUUACCUCUUUGUAUUUCAGUUUUCUCCUUGGAAAGAUGAGAAUAAUACCAGUGUCCUUCUUGUGAGGGUUUCUUGAGUUAAUAUCUGUGAAGCUGAUAGAACGGUGUCAAUAAACCAUGUGUGUGUUUACUAAUAUUUUAUGGUUGCAGUAUCAGGAACAAGGAUUGUUAAGGGGGGCACUCUUUAAUGAACACCUUUAAUGCGCACAUCAGAGAAAGGUAACUUUUAAAAAUGCAAACUGGACACUACUACAGUCGAACUUGCUGUGUUUUUCUUUUUUAAGUAUUUAGAAACAAUUUAAUUUUUAAAAUAGACUAGUCACUGUGUAUCAAUUUACUGUGUAAAUUCCCUUUACCAAAGGUAUGAAGAAUCAUCCCAAGGUUCAAAUCAUCCAGGUUUGAAUAAAGAAAUGUUUUAGGUUCCUACUUUACUUGCUUUACCAAGGAAGGGUUUUGAAGCAGGAAAAGAAGGAAAUUACCAUUGCACCUGGAAUCUUUUUUAAAAGACACGUUUUGUUGCUUUUGUUUAGAAAAUGUGGGAAAUGCAUAAAAGUACAUCAUAGAAAAGAAGAAAAGAUGAACUGUAAUACCA
Talpa occidentalis (Iberian mole) is the source of this 1868-nucleotide long non-coding RNA. RefSeq lists it as uncharacterized. The record is from RefSeq and is a predicted model, not a curated record. NCBI's taxonomy places the organism in Eukaryota, Metazoa, Chordata, Mammalia, Eulipotyphla, Talpidae. The transcript has 3 exons.